GAUUUCUGGUCUGAUAUGCCCGGCCCGUCCUCGUUAGAGGCGCGUGUGCUGGCGUGUGUCUACCAUCUUUCUAGAGAGCGGCAUUGCCCUUCACUGGUGUGGUGUUCGUCAUCUAGAUCUUUUACUUUGAAAAAAUUAGAGUGUUUAAAGCAGGCUUGCGCUAUGAAUACAUUAGCAUGGAAUAAUAAUUUAGGACUUUGUUUCUAUUUUGUUGGUUUCUAGAGAUGAAGUAAUGAUUGAUAGGGACAGUUGGGGGUGCUAGUAUUCAGCGGCCAGAGGUGAAAUUCUUGGAUUCGCUGAAGACUAACUUAUGCGAAAGCAUU
This 323-nucleotide ribosomal RNA is filed under the name uncultured Paracercomonas. RNAcentral describes it as "SSU rRNA". The stretch from base 82 to 323 matches the Rfam family "Eukaryotic small subunit ribosomal RNA", at positions 712 to 955 of the family's 1831-position model. The record is from RNAcentral. Lineage: Eukaryota; Cercozoa; Cercomonadida; Cercomonadidae.